The sequence is a ribosomal RNA, 574 nucleotides long. The stretch from base 193 to 346 matches the Rfam family "5.8S ribosomal RNA".
GAACCUGCGGAGGGAUCAUUACUGAGUUAUCCAAAACUCCCAACCCUUUGUGAACUUACCACUGUUGCCUCGGCGAGUUGUGCUACCCUAUAGCUACCCUGUAGCUACCCGGGAACACAUUCCAAGCUCGCCAGAGGACCUACCAACUCUGUUUUAUACUGUAUCUCUGAACUUUAUAACUAAAUAAGUUAAAACUUUCAACAACGGAUCUCUUGGUUCUGGCAUCGAUGAAGAACGCAGCGAAAUGCGAUAAGUAAUGUGAAUUGCAGAAUUCAGUGAAUCAUCGAAUCUUUGAACGCACAUUGCGCCCAUUAGUAUUCUAGUGGGCAUGCCUAUUCGAGCGUCAUUUCAACCCUUAAGCCUCAGUUGCUUAGCGUUGGGACUCUACGACCUAUUAUAGCGUAGUUCCUUAAAGGUAGUGGCGGAGUUAUAGCACACUCUAAGGCGUAGUAAUUCUCUCUCGCUUCUUGUAGUGGUUAUAGUUGCUUGCCAUAAAACACCCCUUAUUUUAAUGGUUGACCUCGGAUUAGGUAGGAAUACCCGCUGAACUUAAGCAUAUCAAUAAGGCGGGAGG